UGCCCCCUGAUUUAAAUAUUAAAGGGCUGCAGUAUUUUGACUGUACAAAGGUAGCAUAAUCAUUAGUCAUUUAAUUGAUGACUCGUAUGAAAGAUUGGAUGAAAUAUAGACUGUCUUUUUUAUAAAUUUUAAAAUUUAAUUUUUAAGUUAAAAAGCUUAAAUAAUUUAAAAAGACGAGAAGACCCUAUAGAGUUUUAUUUUUAGUUUAUAUUGAAAUUUUUAUAAGUUUAUUAGUUUGAUUUAGAUUUAAUAAUUUUGUUGGGGUGAUAGAAAAAUUUAAUUAACUUUUUUUUUUAUAAUAUACAUAAAUAAAUGAUUUAAUGAUCCAAUUUUAUUGAUUAUAAGAAAAAAUUACCUUAGGGAUAACAGCGUAAUUUUAUUUUUUAGUUCAAAUAAAAAAUAAAGUUUGCGACCUCGAUGUUGGAUUAAGAUAAAAUUUAAAUGCAGAAGUUUAAAAUUUUGA
This 463-nucleotide ribosomal RNA is filed under the name Lymantria beatrix. RNAcentral describes it as "partial large subunit ribosomal RNA". The record is from RNAcentral. Lineage: Eukaryota; Metazoa; Arthropoda; Insecta; Lepidoptera; Erebidae.